AGCUUUGCGCAGUGGCAGUAUCGUAGCCAAUGAGGUUUAUCCGAGGCGCGAUUAUUGCUAAAAUCCAGUUCCUCAGUAGAACUAGCCACAUGUGGUUCAGGACUACUGUAUUGGAUAAUGUGAAACAGAACAUUUCUACAUUCAGAAAAGUUCUACUGAAC
RNAcentral lists this small nuclear RNA (161 nucleotides) under Rhinolophus ferrumequinum (greater horseshoe bat). Its description in RNAcentral is "U4 spliceosomal RNA (ENSRFEG00010022059.1)". The stretch from base 1 to 63 matches the Rfam family "U4 spliceosomal RNA". Lineage: Eukaryota; Metazoa; Chordata; Mammalia; Chiroptera; Rhinolophidae. The record is from Rfam by way of RNAcentral.